Arvicanthis niloticus (Nile rat) is the source of this 1221-nucleotide non-coding RNA. NCBI's taxonomy places the organism in Eukaryota, Metazoa, Chordata, Mammalia, Rodentia, Muridae. The record is from RefSeq and is a predicted model, not a curated record.
UAGAAAGUAAUUUAGUGAUUAUAGUUAAGUAAAAUUAGUACACCGCUAGGGCAUCCUCCGGAGUUAAUUUCCAACAAGUUACCAUGGUAAAGAAAUGAACGGCCAAACUUUCUCGUUUUAAUCAAUAUAGCAAUCCAUACACAGAAUCAGACCGGUACAGUAGAAAGUACAAACUCAGACAGAAAAGGUGAUAAAUCCGGUAACUGCCUUGGGCCAUGUAGACUGAUAGCAAAUUCCAGUCCCCUGUCAGCAACCUUGGGUUGGGGGGUGGCUGCCUGGACCUAAUUAAUCACCCAGGCCUCGGACUGCAAACAAACGACUGGGAUGCCCCAGGUCUGGAAAGGUGGGCACUUUCACCAAUUGGCUCAGCGAUCUCUGGAAAGAUCAGUCAUCCCGGAGGAUAUGCUAGUACGGGAGGCCAGGAUUGCUAUUUUGCUUUUGCACUGGCAUUUCCUACACCGCACAGUGCUUAAAGGACAGGGGAUUAAAGAAACUUAAACUCCAUCCUGGCUGGCCUAAGCGCUUUCACGUUCUCCAGAAGGCAAAGCCGCCUGAGCGGGGCCUGAGGAGCAGCGGGACCCCCACCCCCAAUGGCACGGCGGGCCCGGGGUCUCCACAGGCCCGGCAGAAGGACAACAGUACACACAGGGCCCUGGCGCUCGGAUGCGUGGCAGUGCCGCGGGCGUCACCGGCGAGGAGGAAGCGGGCGUCACCGGCGAGGCCGCACAUGGCCGGCGGCGCUCAAGCGCAGGGGCGGCCCGGGACGCGGUACCUGCGGUCGGGCGGCGGGCUGCUGCUUCUGCGAGCCUCCUUUGGCCGGCCAGGACCCCGCGGUGCCCUCGCCCUUGUCCGCCUGGCUCCCGACUCUUUUUCCCUCUCUUUCCCCCUUUUUGCCCCCUCCUCGGCCGUGGCUCCAAGAUGGCGGCGCCGAGACGGAUCACGUGAGCGGCGAGCGGGUCAGCUCCUGUCUCAGAGUCACCUUGCAGGGAUUGCCUUGUGAUCAAGCUCUUGGUAGCAGGGAGCCUCAGAAAUAGAGCUGCGGCACUGGGAGAUUCUGACGGGAUCCCACAGGGAGAGGCACAAUUAAGAAUCUCAUGCAACAGAGCAUCCCUUUGUCCUUGUGAUUAGCGGAAGUGAGGACAUUCACCCUGGCAAAAUAGUGCUGAUGUAGGUUCUCUUGAGUUUGGCUCUUUAUGUUGAGAGGAACCAUAUUUGCAGAUU